Molecule: transfer RNA, 65 nt
Filed under: Papuadytes sp. MB165
Lineage: Eukaryota; Metazoa; Arthropoda; Insecta; Coleoptera; Dytiscidae
Description: transfer RNA-Leu
Source: RNAcentral
AUUAUUUUGGCAGAUUAGUGCGUUGAAUUUAGAAUUCAUUAAUGUAAUAUUUAUUACAAAUAAUA